Molecule: ribosomal RNA, 527 nt
Filed under: uncultured bacterium
Lineage: Bacteria
Description: bacterial SSU rRNA
Rfam family: Bacterial small subunit ribosomal RNA
Source: RNAcentral
AGAGUUUGAUCAUGGCUCAGGAUGAACGCUAGCGGCAGGCCUAACACAUGCAAGUCGAGGGGUAACAUAGGAAAGCUUGCUUUUCUGAUGACGACCGGCGCACGGGUGCGUAACGCGUAUACAACCUACCUUUUAGCGGGGAAUAGCCCAGGGAAACUUGGAUUAAUGCCCCAUAGUAUAUAGACUUCUCCUGAAGUUUAUAUUAAACAUUUAUGGCUAUUAGAUGGGUAUGCGUCCUAUUAGUUAGUUGGUAAGGUAACGGCUUACCAAGGCAGCGAUAGGUAGGGGUCCUGAGAGGGAGAUCCCCCACACUGGUACUGAGACACGGACCAGACUCCUACGGGAGGCAGCAGUGAGGAAUAUUGGACAAUGGGCGAGAGCCUGAUCCAGCCAUGCCGCGUGCAGGAAGACUGCCCUAUGGGUUGUAAACUGCUUUUACAGAGGAAGAACCACCCCCACGUGUGGGGGUUUGACGGUACUCUGCGAAUAAGGAUCGGCUAACUCCGUGCCAGCAGCCGCGGUAAUAC